RNAcentral lists this ribosomal RNA (497 nucleotides) under uncultured bacterium. RNAcentral's name for it is "bacterial SSU rRNA". It matches the Rfam family "Bacterial small subunit ribosomal RNA", at positions 8 to 526 of the family's 1533-position model. The record is from RNAcentral.
AGAGUUUGAUCCUGGCUCAGGAUGAACGCUGGCGGCGUGCCUAAUACAUGCAAGUCGAACGAAGAUGUAGCAAUACGUCUUAGUGGCGAACGGGUGAGUAACGCGUUGGUGACCUGCCCCAAAGUCUGGGAUAACAGUUCGAAAGGACUGCUAAUACCGGAUGUGGUCAUCGGGAUUAGAAUCCGAUGUCUAAAGGAGUAAUUCGCUUUGGGAGGGGCCUGCGUCCCAUCAGCUAGUUGGUAGGGUAACGGCCUACCAAGGCGACGACGGGUAGGGGACCUCAGAGGGUGGCCCCCCACAAUGGAACUGAAACACGGUCCAUACACCUACGGGUGGCAGCAGUAGGGAAUAUUGCACAAUGGGCGAAAGCCUGAUGCAGCAACGCCGCGUGUGCGAAGAAGGCCUUCGGGUCGUAAAGCACUUUUCUGGGAGAUGAGAAAGGACAGUAUCCCAGGAAUAAGUCUCGGCUAACUACGUGCCAGCCGCCGCGGUAAUAC